Molecule: long non-coding RNA, 168 nt
Organism: Alosa alosa (allis shad)
Lineage: Eukaryota; Metazoa; Chordata; Actinopteri; Clupeiformes; Clupeidae
Exons: 3
Source: RefSeq, a predicted model, not a curated record
GCAGGAGCCAAUCGCCAGCUCUGCGUCUCCCUUACUCUGCCGUGGCUGUAUGGAACCUGACCUGUCUAGCAUUAGAUAACUCUCCCCUGCAGCUUAUGACGAUGGCACGGCGUGUGUUUUAAGCGUUCUUUAGGCCUACUGGCUAAUCAGUGACUGCAAGUGUUUGGU